RNAcentral lists this ribosomal RNA (371 nucleotides) under Vibrio sp. Its description in RNAcentral is "bacterial SSU rRNA". It matches the Rfam family "Bacterial small subunit ribosomal RNA", at positions 961 to 1331 of the family's 1533-position model. The record is from RNAcentral. Lineage: Bacteria; Pseudomonadati; Pseudomonadota; Gammaproteobacteria; Vibrionales; Vibrionaceae.
GCGAAGAACCUUACCUACUCUUGACAUCCAGAGAACUUUCCAGAGAUGGAUUGGUGCCUUCGGGAACUCUGAGACAGGUGCUGCAUGGCUGUCGUCAGCUCGUGUUGUGAAAUGUUGGGUUAAGUCCCGCAACGAGCGCAACCCUUAUCCUUGUUUGCCAGCGAGUAAUGUCGGGAACUCCAGGGAGACUGCCGGUGAUAAACCGGAGGAAGGUGGGGACGACGUCAAGUCAUCAUGGCCCUUACGAGUAGGGCUACACACGUGCUACAAUGGCGCAUACAGAGGGCAGCCAACUUGCGAAAGUGAGCGAAUCCCAAAAAGUGCGUCGUAGUCCGGAUUGGAGUCUGCAACUCGACUCCAUGAAGUCGGAA